UCGCUAUCAGUCUGUUGCACUCUCCGCCUAUAAAAAGGGGGACCCCAGAUACGUUAUUCUCUAAGCUCUAAUUUCUAUCUCAAAACUCUGCUAAAAUUUUCGUUCGAGCACUCCAUUCUUGUUGAGGCAGAGAACUGACUUGAGCAUCGGAGGGUCUUGCCGGAGCACCCCCAACUCCGGUUUAGACUUCCUUUGCAGGUCUCGGUGGCGACCGCGACUCCCUCGACUCCAGCUUCUCCGACGCCGGUGGAUUUUUGCACCAACAACUUGCAUUGAGUUUGUCACCC
This 287-nucleotide long non-coding RNA is filed under the name Elaeis guineensis (African oil palm). Its description in RNAcentral is "long non-coding RNA (EGUI_LNC039144)". Lineage: Eukaryota; Viridiplantae; Streptophyta; Magnoliopsida; Arecales; Arecaceae. The record is from RNAcentral.